RNAcentral lists this long non-coding RNA (423 nucleotides) under Nicotiana tabacum (common tobacco). RNAcentral's name for it is "long non-coding RNA (NTAB_LNC019443)". The record is from RNAcentral. Lineage: Eukaryota; Viridiplantae; Streptophyta; Magnoliopsida; Solanales; Solanaceae.
UUUGAAGCUGAAAGUUACUACUUACUAAUAUGGAUGACAAGGUUAGUGAUUUCUCUAUGCUUAAGGUUAUUAUGACAUUUCAAGAGUGUUUGUGCAUCAAUUUUAAUAUAACUAGGAAAUAUUAUCUUUUACAUUUAUCUGAAUCUUCGUAAGGUGUUUUCUUUAGCGUGGUUUUGGAGGUAUCAUAUGGCGAUGGGUCAUGAGCAUGAUCCUGAAGAAAUUUUUAGCUAAGACGAGCUCCAACAAUAUGGUUCAAAUGUUCGAUGACUUUUGCUUUGAAGUGAUGUGUGUUGAGAUAAUUUAACAUAUUUUACUAUAAGAUCCGAUGUAGAACUUGGGAAGGUAGGCUUAUGGUAAGUUUCAAUUUUAUGAAUAAAAAAUAAGUCAGCCUUUGAGAGGCAUUACACGUGUGGUAUAUUUUUU